UACCCUGAGUGGUGGAUCACUUGGCUCGUGGG
This 32-nucleotide ribosomal RNA is filed under the name Laodelphax striatellus (small brown planthopper). RNAcentral's name for it is "partial 5.8S ribosomal RNA". The record is from RNAcentral. Lineage: Eukaryota; Metazoa; Arthropoda; Insecta; Hemiptera; Delphacidae.